GCCCGGGUGGUGGAAUUGGUAGACACCCAGGACUUAAAAUCCUGUGGCAUGUAAAUGCCGUGCCGGUUCAAGUCCGGCCCCGGGCA
RNAcentral lists this transfer RNA (86 nucleotides) under Spirochaetota bacterium. Its description in RNAcentral is "tRNA-Leu". It matches the Rfam family "tRNA". Rfam says of the family: Transfer RNA (tRNA) molecules are approximately 80 nucleotides in length. Their secondary structure includes four short double-helical elements and three loops (D, anti-codon, and T loops). Further hydrogen bonds mediate the characteristic L-shaped molecular structure. tRNAs have two regions of fundamental functional importance: the anti-codon, which is responsible for specific mRNA codon recognition, and the 3' end, to which the tRNAs corresponding amino acid is attached (by aminoacyl-tRNA synthetases). tRNAs cope with the degeneracy of the genetic code in two manners: having more than one tRNA (with a specific anti-codon) for a particular amino acid; and 'wobble' base-pairing, i.e. permitting non-standard base-pairing at the 3rd anti-codon position. The record is from RNAcentral. Lineage: Bacteria; Pseudomonadati; Spirochaetota.